RNAcentral lists this ribosomal RNA (442 nucleotides) under Klebsiella pneumoniae. Its description in RNAcentral is "partial 23S ribosomal RNA". It matches the Rfam family "Bacterial large subunit ribosomal RNA", at positions 2501 to 2925 of the family's 2925-position model. The record is from RNAcentral. Lineage: Bacteria; Pseudomonadati; Pseudomonadota; Gammaproteobacteria; Enterobacterales; Enterobacteriaceae.
CAUAUCGACGGCGGUGUUUGGCACCUCGAUGUCGGCUCAUCACAUCCUGGGGCUGAAGUAGGUCCCAAGGGUAUGGCUGUUCGCCAUUUAAAGUGGUACGCGAGCUGGGUUUAGAACGUCGUGAGACAGUUCGGUCCCUAUCUGCCGUGGGCGCUGGAGAAUUGAGGGGGGCUGCUCCUAGUACGAGAGGACCGGAGUGGACGCAUCACUGGUGUUCGGGUUGUCAUGCCAAUGGCACUGCCCGGUAGCUAAAUGCGGAAGAGAUAAGUGCUGAAAGCAUCUAAGCACGAAACUUGCCCCGAGAUGAGUUCUCCCUGAGACUUUAAGUCUCCUGAAGGAACGUUGAAGACGACGACGUUGAUAGGCCGGGUGUGUAAGCGCAGCGAUGCGUUGAGCUAACCGGUACUAAUGAACCGUGAGGCUUAACCUUACAACGCCGAAG